This 10572-nucleotide long non-coding RNA is filed under the name Marmota monax (woodchuck). The stretch from base 2036 to 2104 matches the Rfam family "tRNA". The record is from RNAcentral. Lineage: Eukaryota; Metazoa; Chordata; Mammalia; Rodentia; Sciuridae.
UUUUUUUUUUGUUUUAUCUGGGUGGUAGGGAUUGAACCCAUGGCUACCUCAGUGGUAUAAUUUACUAUGUUUAUAUCAAAAUACAGAAAUUUAGUUUAAUCAUGCAUGUUUGGUAGAGUAUUCAUGAUGGAAAGAUAGAAUGAAAGUCUCUGUGGAUAAUAACAUAUAAAAAAGAACAAUAAAGAAAUUAAUGAGGUUGUUUUUUGGUGGAGUUUAUUUAUUUAUUUAUUUAUUUAUUUAUUUAUUUAUUUAUUUAUUUAUUUAUUUAUACUGGGGAUUGAACCCAUGGGUUCAAUUAACCACUGAGCCACAUCCUCAGACCUUUUUAUUUUUAAUUCAGAUACAGGGUCUUGCUAAGUGGCUUAGGGUCUUGCUAAGUUUUGAAGGCUGGUUUUGAACUCAUGAUCCUCCUGCCACAACCUCCUGAGCUAUUGGGAUUACAGGUGGGUGCCACUGCACCCAGCCAGUUAAGGAGUUUCUGAGGAAUUCUUUUCUUGUAAUUCUUCUUUUGUUCCCACAAGUAACAUGUAAUAUGCUAACUGAGGUAACCAUCUGCUUUUCCUCUCACUCCUCCCCUUCUGAGUUCCUUUGAUCCUACUGAUAAUCAGAACAUCAAGAAUAUCCUGCAAACCACUCAGCCACUCAAAACUUGUCAAAGUUGCAGGUGCUUUCCUCUAAAGUUUGUUUUAAAGCCGUGGAAAGAGCUUUUUCUUUUUCUUUUUCUUUUUUUUUUUUUUUGGGUGAGAGUCAGGAAGGAAGAACUGGUUGCUCAAAGACAACACAUCUAUCCCGACAUUCCUGUCUUCAUGAAUUUUUGAUUCCUUCCUAUACUGUUAGUAUUUAGAUAUGAAGCGUUCCCCAGACUCAUGUGUUGAAAGAUUUAUCCCCACUGUAGCAAUGUUUAGAUGUGGGGCUUUGGGGAAGUAAUUUGAUUGUGAGGGUAUUAACCUCAUCAAUGAACAUAUCCAUUAAUGAGUUCUUAGCUGAUGACUUUGUGAAGAAGUGGUGGAAACUGAAGGAGAUAGAGUCUACUGAGGAAACAGGUCAUUGGGGGCAUUCCCUGGAGGGCUAUGUCUUGUCCCCAGCCCCUUCCUUCCUCCUCUCUCUGCUUCCUGCCACCAUGAGGUGAUCACCUCAGCUCCACCAUGCCCCCUUUGCCAAGAUCCUCUGCCUCACCACAGGUCUGCAGUGAUGGAGCCAGAUAAGCAUCAACUGAAACCUCUGAAACUGUGAUCAAAAUAAAUCUUUUUCCUCUUCCAAGUUGAUUUUCUCAUGUAUUUGGUCACAGUGAAGAAAAGCUAAUGCAAAUACCUUGUAUCAAAUACUUUCUGACUCGAAUCCUGCUUAGUAAGGCCACCACUAACUCACAUUGAAAACUAAGUCAAACUGUAGAACAGCCUAUGCUGCUCAAGAUAUCACCAAAAGUCCAAAAUCUUUGAUUGACCUUCCCAUGUCCACACAUUCAGCCUGAACUCUACCAUAAUUGCUCUCUUUCCUGGGUCCCUUUUCAUGUGUAUUCUCCUUUCCUUUCUUCUAAUUAUUUCUCUAUGUAAAUCUUUCUCAGACAUUCAUUUAUUUUAUCAUUAGGUUCCUGAGUUAUGCUCAGAUCUGACUCCAGCUGUCAGUCUGAAGGUAAUAGAGGACUGUCGGGGCAGGGCAUACAGCUAAGAGGUUUUUCCUUGCAGCAUUAUUGCCUCAGAUGAGUUCAUUACAGGGUUGAGUAAGAAGUAGAAGGAGGCUGGGGUGUAGCUCAGUGGAAAAGUAAUGUCUGAUAUGUGAGGCCCUUGGUUCAAGCUCUAGCACCUUAAAGAAAUGGAAGAAAUUUAGCAGAACCAUCAUAUCUGACCUAACCAUCCAUCUAUAUUUAUCUGCCUAGCCCCAUACCAAAUGGAGAACACAUAUUGUUAGCAGGUACAAAUACUUAACUAAUAAAAUUCUUCAGUGUAUGAGAACAUAAAUGAACAACGUUCCUGAGGCUUUAUUUCAUAUAGAUCCUUCUCAUAAAUUCAAUGUAAUAAAAUUAGGUACUGGGGCUGGAGAUGUGGCUCAAGCGGUAGCGCGCUCGCCUGGCAUGCGUGCGGCCUGGGUUCGAUCCUCAGCACCACAUACAAACAAAGAUGUGUCCACCAAGAACUAAAAAAAAUAAACAUUAAAAAAAAAUUCUCUCUCUCUUUCUCUUUAAAAAAAAUAAAAUUAGAUACUGAUAACAAUGGUCUCAUGAAGUGAUUCAUUUGCCAACUUUAAAAAUUUCAAAAAAAUUGUGAUUCAAAACAAGACCAAUGGAAUACUUAUAAAGGGCUCAAUAAUGAAUGCACUUAAAUGUAAAGGCAUUAAAAUUUAUGGCCUUAAAAGCAUUUGUUAUGAAAGAAUAAAGAAUGGAAAUAAGAGUGUUAAGUGCUAAAGUACACAGACAAUACAACAAAAAAAUAUCAAGGAAGAAAGGAUAUAAUGAAGACAAAACUAAAAAUUAAAGCAAUUAAUUAAAGCAAGUGGGAAAGUUAAUGAUAUGAUGAAAACAACAGAGGAGUCCUGCUGUGGUGAGCCUGGAAGCCCAGGACGCAGGCCAGGGUGGAGUCACUGUAGGGCAGAUCUUGGUUGUGGUAGCAAAUAUUCAAAUGAGAACUUUGAAGGCUGAAGUGGAGAAGGGUUCUAUGUGAGCAGCAACUGAACAUAGGACAUUUGGCUCUCCUUCUUCAAACAAUGUGACAGAACAUGUGACACAAUAUGCAAUGGGGUCAUAGAAUUUGAAUAUUUUUCUCUUGGAUGACUGUAAAAUGCAUAGUAGGAGGCAUCUAUCUCUGAAGAGGAGGGAUCUAAGUGAUCUUCAAGGAAAGAUAGAAGGAAUGAGUCCUGGAUACUGAAAGACCUCUGAAGACCCCAACUACUCAGUGAGGGAGCACACUAGGUCCUCCAGAGAUCAGUUUAUUCAGCGCAGGCUACAGUAGACGAGGAAGCAUCUGCAUCAGCAACAGUGUGGUUUUAAGGACUUAAAUCAUCCCCCACGGAAAGUGCGUGGUUAUGACUGGCAUAUCUGUUGUCAGUUUUCUAUUGGGCUCCUGGGCCGGUGAUGGCCCUUUGGUGGGCUCCGUCCUGGGCCCCUUCUCUUAGGAAGAAGAACAGGAAGCCUAGAGCCUAAAGCCCUAGGGGUGGUCGCCAUUGUUGGGCGGUGGCCUGGCCCUGUUCUGGUUCUGAGCCCAACAGAUACUCUUCCCCUUGGAUCAAACUUCUGUGUUUUCUACUAUGCCUUAUUUCUUCUGUGAAAUGAGAACCCAAAAUUCAAUAAAUAAAUUAAUAAAUGAAUAAUAAAAAAUUUAAAGAAGAAAAAGAAAACAAAAUGAAGCCUGACUCAGUGGUGCACACCUAUAUCCUAGUGACUAGGGACACUGAGGCAGGAGGAUCUCAAGUUUGCAGCCAGGUUUAGCAACUUCCUGAGAUCCUGUCUCAAAAUAUAAAAUUAAUUUAAAAAGAGGCGGGGCUGGCAAUGCAGAUCAGUGGUAAAGCACUUCUAGGGUCAAUUCCCAGGGGUGGGGAGAAAGAAAAGAAAAAAAGAAAAAAAAACUUCAUGCUCAAAAGUUAGAAAACCAGAUGAAACAUUUUUCUAUCUUUUUUUUUCUUUCUCUUCUUUUCUUUUCUUUUCUUUCCCAGGGAUUGAACUUGGAGGCAUUUGACCACUGAGCCACAUCCCUAGCUCUAUUUUGUAUUUUAUUUACAGACAGGAUCUCACUGAGUUGCUUAGCACCUUGCUUUUGCUGAGGCUGGUUUUGAACUUGUGAUUCUCCUGCCUCAGCCUCUGGAGCUUCUAGGAUUACAGGCAUGCACCCUGGUGCCAGGCCUUAGACAUUUUUCUAGAUGGGAAUGGAAAUUACCCAAAUGGAUUUAAUUUCAAAUGCAAAACCUUAUUGAAGCAGGCCAGAGAUCCCCACCCAGAAAACCCCUGUCAUAAUUAAGCCUCUCUAGAGAUCCUCAAAAAUUCUGUUUAGUAUAAUUGUUCUUAGACUAUCAAUCAGCAAGAAUUUCUACAACAGAGUUUUUAGGAGGAGGCUGUGUUUGCAGAGACAGAAUGUGAUAAGGGACUCAAGGCCUCCAACCUGGGUCUGGAGCCUUCACAGAGGCAUUUGCAUCUCAAAGGACUGUCGUCAGGUCCUGGGGGAGCCAGCUGGUGAGAAGAAAGGGGAGGGAGACUCUCCCUUUCUCAGACACUGAUUUCACCAAGUGUCCUUGACCUGAAUUGGGUGCCCAAAACAGUGAAAAAGCUGCUUUUAUGUGAGCUUCUACAGAUUGGGAGCCCCUCCCCUUACACACUGGGUAUAAAGUUCUAAGACUUUCUGAACUCGAGAUUCAGAGAGGUGAUUUGGAGGGGAAAAAGCCCCCCUUGAUAGACCGAACCUGAUUUUCUCUUAAAAUUGGGAGCCAUCUCGCCACAAAGCCAUGAAAAGAUAAUUUCGGCUUUACUAUAAAUUACUGCAAAUUCUGAUCUAGCUUGGAAUGCCUGCCUGUGCCUUGAACUCAACCAUGCCUGGCUCUCUGACCAGAUAGCAGCCCUCUCUGAAACUUUAGUGACGCCUCACAAAUCUUGGCUUUCUCUGGCCAAAUAACGACCCUCUCUGAGGCUCUAAUGACCUUCAUAAAUUCUGAUGUCGGGACCAGCAAAAAUAUAAACUACCAUUUGUGUUAUGCUCGUUAGAGUUUUGUUAUUUGUUACCCCCCUUUGUGUAACUUUCUGGGCUAUAAAGCUGGGCUGCAGGAAAGAAGUGGCUGCUGUCUUCUUCCCAUGUUUUGGGUGGGAGAGGCAGCCGGGCCAGUCAAAAUAAUAAACUUGCUUUAAUUUGAUUUUAAUUGGAGUCAGUGGUUUUUCUUGCAUCCUGAUCUAACAUUUUGGAGUUCCCCAGUGAGAUGACCCUGCCAGAGCAGACCACAAGACCAGACUGCUAGAAAUUCUAAAGCUGGCCUUCGCUCCAGGGCUCCAGGCUGCAGAGCCACUCUAGGGGGUGAGCACCCUGAGACAUCCCAAGGCCUCGGAGUAAGCCUCAGUCCCCGGAGAACUGAAGUGAACUGCUGCACUAAAACUAUCAGCAAGCAUCUGGUGGAGGAGGCCUCCAUAGGUAAGUGGCGCCUUUAUAACAUCUGGUAUUCGGUUAAGGGAGAUCUCUUUUGAAGACAGAGAGGUGGCCUUGCGAGGCUCACAUAUACUCCUUUCCGUGAUAGUAAUGAGAAAUCGUUCUGUCCUCUGUUCUGUUCUGUAGGGAAUUCCUCUGGCAGGGUAGAGAGGUGCUGACAGGCACGCACGCACUCCUACCCUGGGAGCUUUAGUGAGACGUUGCAUUGCUCCUCUGUUUUUCUGUUUUGGCGCCGGAUUUCUGUUUUCUUGUGUUUUUGUUCUGUGUUCUAUGUUUUUUUUUUUUUUUUUUCCUGCCUUUUGUUGUGUGACUUCUGUGGUAAAAACUUAAGGAUAUUGGACAUGAAAAUGGGUAAUAAAGCAAGUAAGCCUGACACCCCUUUGAACUGUGUUUUAAGGAACUGUGAUGAACUUUACCCCACUUUGUUAAGCAGGAUGAGAGAAGCCCCUAGCUGGCUGCCUGGAGGACACCCACUGCAGAGGGCAAUGCCCGCUGGGGAUCUAAGAACUGAGUAUCUCCCAGAUUAACAAGUGAAAUUCCUUUAAAACCCCUUGUCCCUAUAGAUCAAGAGAGUCACAACUUUUGGGGUGGAGUCCCCUUGCUUCUUCUUUGUUAGCAAAGCAAUAAAUCUCCCCUUUUCUUUUUCUCAAAACCUUGUCCUCAUUAUUAAAUUGGCAUUAAUUGGCUUCAAGGUCAGGAACCAAACUUUCAGUUACAAAUUUUGACCCCCUGGGAACUUUUUGAGAGCUGACUAUUGAAAUGUUAGGAGAUGGAGCAUGUCUGGAGUGGAACCCAAACAGAGGAACUAAUCCUGUAAGUAAAAGGAGGGACUGAGGGACUCCCAGGAGCUGCCGAAGCCCUUUUGCUUGGGGAAUUCCCCGCCUUCCUUCCCUGCACUGUAAGGAUUAUGCCACCUCUGUCUACUUAAAAAAAGAGAAAAAGAAAAAGGGGACACUAAAUGCAGUAAAGUCGCCACCGAGACCCUUGAUUUUACAUUUCAGAUUGCCCCUCUGUGAAAACAUCUGGUCCCCUUGUGGGGACAUCUAUGGUGCCACUGGUGUAGGAGAUUUUUCUCUUAUCUGCUCUGUUUUAAAGGUUUCUCUCUGUCAGCCAUAGUCUUGAGCUCCUUUCUGUCUGUCUGUCCUGUGUCUUUGUUUGUUUCUGGCCCUUUAAGACAUGUGCAAUAAUGUGUUGAUAUUAUAAAUUGUUUCUUGGGAAUGAUCUUGGCUGAAUGUGUGUCUAAAAGAUGAUGUUUUAUUGUAACAAUCUGGUAUCUGAAUGGGUUUCUGAAGCAUUGCACAAUCUUGCAGUUAAAAGUUGGAUACAGAUAAUUGUUUAGUUUAUGAGUUCAGAUAAUUCAUGCCAGAGAACUUAAAUACUUAGGAUGGUAAACUAAAGAACUCUGCUUCCAAGUUGGCAAGUGACUCCCAAUCAUUCAGUUUUUUUUUUUUUUCACCAAUUUUUGAAUUGGGUAGCCUGGGAAAAUGACACUGUGUGUACCAGUGCAUUAAUUUGGACAAGGAUAGUAAAUCAUAGUAUGGUAUCUGUUGACAAAACAAGAUGUAAAGAUAUAAAAUUUUGUGAAUUGUAUCUUAAACUUGUAUCAUAAUUUUCAACAUCUGAACCUGAAAAUUAUAACUUAUGGUUCAAAUGCCUUAGGCAUGAGGUGUCUGCUCAGAAGAGCAGUUUUUUCCUGCUCCUUACAGACCUCAGCCAGGACUUGUGUUGAAAUGCAAAUGAAAGAAGCCUGCAAGCUCAGUAGGAGACUGAUCUGAGGCCUAAGGGGGAAAAAAAUAAAUUGUAUGGUAUUUACUAAUUACUGGCCAGUCAUUUUUUCUAGGAUUUUUGUUUUUCUUAGAUUCUGUAUUUAUUUAUUUAUUUUUUGAGCUCAUGAUUUUGAUCCUACAGACCUAGGUUAAUGUUUUUCUGAUCAGUCCUAUCUUUGAUCAAUUGUGGAGUUUUUAAACAUUGCAAUGGAGAUUUCACCUAUGAAAAUCUACAAGACCUUUACUAUUGUGUUAUGUGUGCACACUUGUGUUAUGUGUUGUAUGUCUAUAUGUAUAUAUGAUAUACAAAUUAACAUAUAUAAGAAGCGCUCAUAAAAACAAAUUUAAAAAAAAUGGAUCCAAAAAUCUUUAAUUCACGUGAUUUAAAUGGUUCAAUUUAAAUUAGAUAAACAGAUAAAAAUAAAUGUCUUUAAAUUUAAGCUUACAAGUUUUUCUAGUUGUUCAAAAAACUAAUAAAAUAUUAAUGUCUAUAAAAUGUCUAAUAUGCCUUGGUUCUAGGACUUUUCCUUCAACAAAAAAAUGGCUAACACUGUUCAAUACACUUGUCUAAUAUUUUGAUAAAAUAAGUAAAGUAAAUUUAAAUGGGAUUACUCAUUCAUGAGUACUUUUGUUAGAUAUCUGAUUGAUUUACUAAGGUCUGUAUAAGUUUGUUUUUACAAUCAGUCAUGUGUUAAAAAGACAAAAAUUUCUUAAAACGUAAGUUUACCCAUAACAUUGGGUUUAUUAAAUUUUAUUUUUUUUUUUCUAGAGCAAGCAACCAUAAAAAUUAAACAACUGGUUAGAUACGAACUAUUAUUUUAGAGCAUUGUACUGUCAUUUCUUUAAAAGCUAAACUUGGUUAAUAUAAAAACAUCAAUGUAAUUGUGAUGCUAUUAAUGUGCUCGUAUCUUCCAGGUAUACAAGUCUGUAAGGUAGAAGUUUUGAAAGAGCAUUAUAUCAAGUUGGUGUUCUAAAGUUGUAUGGUAAAAAAUAUAUUGGAGAUUUAUUUACCUGUUAUCAAUAAGAUAUGUAAAGUUUUAUGUUACUUUUUACAUUGGGGAACAAUUUAAAUGUAUUUUUAAGUUGAUGAGAGCCUAAUCUAUGUAAAGGUUAAUAUUGUAAAGAACAAAGUAUUUUGCUAUCUUUCCACAAAAGGUUAAAACUUUCAGCUUUUCUUUAAUUCAUGUUUUAAAUAUGAUAUCAUAUGGUGUUAGCUAAUGUUCAUGUGACCUCGAACAAUUUAUGUAAACUUUGUAAAAUGAUAUUUAAAAAGCAAAAAUCAGCUUUAGAACUAGAACACUUAAGAUUUAUAAAGAGCCCUGCCUUACCUGAGAUAAGGCUCUAUGUCCCAUCUUACUACAUGUGAGAAUGACUACGAAAGCAGUAGGUCAGAUUUCAGUUUAUUUAAAGUUAUGUUCAAAAGUUGUUUUUUUUUUAUGUCAAGAUUACUAGGAUCUCAAACAGGGGAUAUAAUGUAUAACUCAGCCAAAAUUCAGGGUAGCUAUUACAUGAACUAAAUGUUUUUACUCUUGUUAAUUUUAUUUUGUAAUUUCCUUAUAAGUGAUCUAAAGAUUCCCUUUUAGUGUUUUAUAGAAGUGUUGCUUUAAGAACACAACCUGGGUUAAUUGAAGAUAAUAAGCCAUCACCUAGGAUAAUACAGAUCCCAAUUAAUAAAAAAGAUAAAUAAGUGUAAAGUUAUAGACAUUAAAGCCCAGUACUCUUAAUACAAGGCUGUUAAAAUUUAUUUGCUGGAUGUUUAAGAUUAAGUUUUAAAAUUAAAGUUAAAUUAAAAGGGCCAGAAAAACCAGUAUUUAACUCUUGCCCUCUGAGUCAGUCUGAAUCCAGGGAACAGGGGACUUCUCUAAAGAGCUUUGCAACUCUGAGCCACAUCACCUCCCAAUCAGGGAGAUUAAUGAGACCACUGGAGAACAGAAAGCCAAUCAGUGCAUUUGCAAUGAAGAGGAGGGUCAUCAGAGAAGGGAGACAUCCCUGAUGCUUCCAAGGGAAGCCAAAUGGUCAAGCAAGACCUGGACCCAUCCUAGUUCAAAUGGCACUAGCAGAACUGAGAAGCUACUCUCAAGUUUCCCCAGGAAUGACUCCCAUAAAAACUCAGCUGACUGUUAACAAUAGAUAGAAACAAAAGUCAGUUUGACUGCUUCAUCUUAAACACUUAGCAAAGACAGUUAAAACCAAAAUACAGCCAUUCCUGGGCAUUUUAAAUAAUAAUAAUAAUAAUAAUAAUAAUAAUAAUAAUAAUAAUAAUAAUUUUUAUUAUUAUUUAAGGUAUUAACUUUAUGUUAGCCCCCCAAAAUAAGUAAGACUGGAGGCUACAAAGAAGAAUUCUCAGACAAAAAUGCCUGAUAACUAUAAAAAGAGACUAUCAAGAGGAACUGCCAUAGUAGUUUUUAGUUUAAGGCCUACAGAUAUUCCUAACUUACAAAGGUAAGCUUGGUGUUUGCUAGUAUGAUUAUCCAUCCCUAAGUAACAGACACAGAGGUCAUUAGACACAGAGGUCAUUCUAGUAAAAUGAUUUUAUAAGAUCAGAUGACAUUAAGUUAUUAAACUGUAUCUUAUGAAAAAGGACAUCUGUAACACUAAAAGUUAAAUAUUUUGUUUACAAACCUGAUAACUUUAAAAAUGUUAAAUAUUUACAUUUUUAUAUAAAGGCCUUGUCCUCUCUGGCCUUAUUAUGGAGACAGCUUCUCCUGGUUAAAAAAAAAAAAAAAAUAUAUAUAUAUAUAUAUAUAUAUAUAUAUAUAUAUAUAUAUAUAUAUAUUUCUCACCUCCUGGUGUGAGGACUUCUACUAUACAGGGACAUGUUCCAGCUGCUGCAACAUUUAUUCAGUACUCAUGGUUUUUGUUUCUCUCAUAGAAGCACUCAUCCCCAGAUGACUUUACAACCUGUUCUUCCCCAACCAGACUUUAAACUGAACUGACUUCUAAAAGGAAACUCACGUCCUUCAUGCCGUGCUCACUUACAUCACUCCCUCUCAGCUCAGAAGAAGCCAAAAUGAGUGACGCCCCUCUUCUUACAACAAUGAAGUCAAAAAUAAAUACACUGUCAAUAUAAGUAAUUAAUUAAGUCAGGUCAAAUCAGGGAGACCAAUUUUGGGUGAGUUCAAAAAAAGUUGGAGACUGUUCCCUGAGGGAUUAAAAUUCCCUCUGUGCUCUUCUCCUACCCUAUCAAAGAUUUGAAAGGGACACAUAAGAAAAGGGGGAAUGAUAGACCAAACCUGAUUUUCUCUUAAAAUUGGGAGCCAUCUAGCCACAAAGCCAUGAAACGAUAAUUUUGGCUUUACUAUAAAUUCCUGCAAAUUCUGAACCUGCUUGGAAUGCCUGCCCUGCCUUGAACUCACCCAUGCCUGGCUCUCUGACCAGAUAGCAGCCCUCUCUGAAACUUUAGUGAUGCCUCACAAAUCUUGGCCUUCCCUGGCCAGAUAAUGACCCUCUCUGAGGCUCUAAUGACCUUCAUAAAUUCUGAUGUCGGGACCAACAAAAAUGUAAACUACCAUUUGUGUUAUGUUUGUCAGAGUUUUGUUAUCUGUAACCCCCCCUUUGUGUAACUUUCUGGGCUAUAAAGCUGGGCUGCAGAAAAGCUGCGUCUGCUGUCUUGUUCCUCCGGUUUUGGGUGGGAGAGGCAGCUGGGCCAGUCAAAAUAAUAAACUUGCUUUAAUUUGAUUUUAAUUGGA